GAACCCCAGGUUGUGGCCCUGGGCUGGCCCGAGCCCCGCUGCGGCAUCACUGCGGUGCACAGGCUGCGUCCCUCCCGUCAGAAGGAUGCCGCCCUGCUCAGGGACGCGCUGCCUGCGGCCCCGUGGGGCUGGCCUGGCACCAUGCAGGAGCCCUCCCAGCUCCCUGCAGUGUCACUUUGUCCCUGUGCUGGUGGCACGGGCUGCUGCUGGCCCGGACCUGGGAAACUUCGGAGCUGGCAGUGGCCGUGCUGUGCUCCAUGGUUUGUGAGCAGCUGCGGUAGCAGGAUGCCGGGGUGAGCUGCCGGCAGCAGCAGGCUGCAACUGUGUGGCCAUGGGUGUGUAAUUGGUGUCACUGCGAGCAGCUGAGCCCGGUGCUUUUAGGAUGUGAGUAAUUACACCAGCCUAAUUUUGAAAAUCAGGCUCUUAACCUCUUGCCAGGCUCAUUUGCAGGACAGCCAUCUCACAGUUGGAGCUGCUGUGCCAAAUUCCAGGCAGCUGCCAGCUUUCGUGCCACACUGCCCGCUUGUCCCCAGCCCUGAGGCCACCAGGAAUGGACAGAGCGCAUCUGUCCCAGCUGAGGGGUCCCCUUGCUGUGGCAGUGCCCUGUGCAGGAGGGGAGCUGCCCCCAGCUGGUGCCCAAGGGCUGAGCCCCCAAAGAGGGGCGGGAGGGCACUGGCACCCCAGUGGAUGCGGGAAGAGCUCUGGGUGCAGGGGCAAAGGGAAGCAAAUGGAGUGGGAUAGCUUCCUCCCCCCCCCUAUCCUCUGUGUUUAUUUUGAGUGUGUAUUUUCUGUACCUUGGAAGUGGGGUGAGGAGAGGGGACUCAGAGAAACUACUUGAGCUUUUCUGGGCUUGAGCUCCAAGUGCGUUUGAACGCCCAGCCAGCUGUAUGUGGGCUCUACCAGGCUCUCGUGAAAUACUUACUCCCUUGCUUUUAGGGCAGUUUUCUGCCAGUGAGAGAUGUUGUGUCUCCUGGAGGGUGGGUGGUUUUGAUGGUCAGAGGGCAGGCCAGGCAUGGCUGUGUUUUUCAUCGGCUGUGUCCCAUGAGCUAGCAGGCUGCUUUGAACCCUGGGAUCUUUGCAUCCUGCAUGGAAGUGGGCGGGUGGAGGUGUGCAAGGAGAGCACAUCUCAUCCGCCUGCCCCAGGCUGAGAUUGCCACGUGGCACUUGACCAGCAGGAGGGAGUUGACCCUCCAUGGGUCCCCAGCCAGCAGGAAACAUGGGCUGCCCAGGCUGGAGGAGAGCUGUGACCCCUCUGCAGGCUCUGCCAACAGCACGGGGCUGCACACUGGCUGCUGCGUGCCUGAGCUUCAAUCCAGGCUGCUGUCACCCAGGCACAACAGGGGCUGGCAAGGAGGGGGCUGUGUCAUUUGCAGACACCCCCUCUCCCACUGCCCUGCUGCACAGGGAUAAGACAUGCCAGUGGCCUCUCCUCCCCAACAGGACCACAGGGAGGGGACAAGCUGGAGAGCAGCCAGCCCGGGGACAGCCCGUGGCAUGCGAACGGCAUUGAUAUAUUUUCUUGGCUUGCCUAAGCGUCUGUUUGUUUGUGUGGGUUUAUCUCAACAGCAGCCGUGGCAGUUUGGCACGCAAUAUGGUAGCUGCUGACAUGUGCAGCUUCUCCGAGUGUAGCUCCGAGAUGUAGCUGCCCACACAGGCAGCGGGACGGGACGGGCGAGUGGCUCUGGGCUGGUGCUCACACCCAUCCUCACCUUCCUCCUCCCUGCUAACCCGUGGUGGCCCGUAGCAGCCUCGCCUGGUGGACCUUCCAGGUAGUUCCUGGUCCAAGAAGUGCCCAUAGCGGUGGUUUGGGUAGUGGUGCCAUGCUUGCUGCCCCUGGAACCCCACUGUGUUUUGCAGGUCCCUCUGUUUCGUGCUGCCCCGUGGGUGGUGGGGAUGAGAGGCAGCUUGAUUCGGGCUCCCCAGCCCUGGUGCUCUGCCUGUUGGACCCCUGCACCCCAGUGCAGAGAUGCCGCUCAGUGCCGUGGCAGUGCGUGUCUCAGGCUGAGCUCUGCCGCCUUUGCUGCCAAAGCUUUUUUUUCUUCCUUCUCAGCUCUUCCCUUCAGAGACUUGUUUAUGGCCGUCAGGAUCUGACAGGCUCUUGGCACCUCUCCCACCCCCAGCAGAUGACAUGGCAGCAGAGCCGCCCGCCCUCGCCCGCUUCUCCUUGCCCUGCCGCUGUGGUUAGGGACCUGUUGGGACGGAUGCCUCUGCAGGGAAAUCGAGCUGGAGACUUCUAGAGCCAGAAAAGACCUGGCACCGGGUUGACAGCAGCAGAAGCCAAAAGGCUCAGAUGGUUUUAAAUGUCAGGGAGAGGUGUGAAUGCAUCUCAGAGACAGCAUGUCCAGGAGCGAUGGCAUUUUGCAGACAGCCUGAACUCUGGAGCCAGCAUCCCCCCUCUCGGAGCGGUGACUUUGCCCCGUCCUGUGGCAGGGCAGCACUGUGCCCGCAGCGUGGGGGGUGUGGGUGUCCCUGGCCCCCGGUGCUGAGGAGGGCAAUGGGGCGCUGCCGGGGGCAGAGCUCUCCAUGGGCUGAUGUGCAAGCGCCCGGCGUCUCCUGCUGCUUGUCUGACCUUUCUCCUUACGCAGUGAUCUGCCCUGACACUUGGAGGCGGAGCGGAAGGAGGCGGUGGUCAUCUUCUUGCUUUUGUCACCGCGUGUUUGCCUGCUUUCCUCUGCCACCCCCCAAAAAGAGUUUGAAGUCUCCAGGAGUCAGCAAGUUCUCCGUGCCAGCCAUCUGUCCCAUUUCCCCUAGCAACCAUUUGUCCUUUUCUUCUUCAUUAGGUAGCUAAAGCAGAUCCCGACUGUCAGACCCUCUCUCGCCUCCCUUUUCUCCUGCGUUCGGCUCUCUGGAUCACUGCUCCCGUUUGUCGCUGUCGCACAGGCUCCUCACCUAGAAGCAUGAUGCCGUCCCACGCGGGGACGUGUCCCGCUCGUGUUGUGACAGCUCUGCGUUUGCUCACGUUCUGGGCGGGCGCUGGUGUCUCCGCCUGCGUGCUGGCUAUUUCUUUACAGCCUGAUCUUUUCCAGCUCCCUCGUCCUGAUCCACACGCUGCUUCCUCAGCCUGCAUCACGUUUCUAGGUCUGUGCAGGGACUGGGGGCUGGCGCUGCUCGUGUCCCUGCAGCAUGUCUGGGCCCUGGCCUGCCUGCUGCUGCCGCAGGGCAAAGAUGAGACACUAAUUUCUAGGGAAGUGGCUUUGGAGAGGUAGAACCAGAGCUGUGCCAUGCGUUAAUCUGAUGGCUGCUGUUUUAGCAGAUGAUGUGGGUGUUGAAUUGGCAGUUUCCAGGACAGAACAGCUCAAAUCACAGCAGCCAAGGUGCAUGUACACAGCUGGGUCUCAGGGUGAUCGCAGCUCUCCAGCUCCUCUGCCCUGUUCUGGGUGCAGCUGAGCAAUCGGGGUGUCUGGCACUGCCUGCUCAGGCUCCCCAUCCUCGUGCUGCCUCUGCUUCACAGCAUGAGCAGGCGGGGGAACCUGGCACCCGGCAGAUUCUCCACAUUUGCUUAACAGCCCUGCCGCCUCACCCCGGCCGCUCGCCGCUAGCUGUCUUUCUGCUGCUUCCCCAGGCUGUGGUUCAGUGCCCGAAGAAGGAACAGUUGGGGAUUUGCAGCUCUUCUCCCAUCAGAAAUGGGUUCUGGGCAGUGAGGGCAGCUCCUGGAGGCCACCUGGAUGCAGUGCUUUGGUUGGGCCAUCUUGCCCCUCUGGGGUUGAGGGUAAGGCUGUUGGUGUACCACCGAACCCAAAAUUCCUCCUGGAGGAGAGAUCCCCAGAGGCAGGCUGCCCUCCUCAAAGCCAAGGCCAUCUCGGGCACUCGAGGCACAGGGGUGACACCUCUGCUGCUGUUGGAAGCGCUGAGCAACCUGUGUUUGAGGGAGUCUCGUGUGCUGCUGUACUGCCUGUACAAAUGGGAGCUGCUGCCUGCAAGGGAAAAUCGGGAAUUUUUCCAUGGGGGAAUUAUUCUGGGAUAUUUCUGGGUGAGGUUCUCACUGGGGAGCACUCUCCAGGCGCGAGCAGAGAUUUCCCCUCCAUCAGGUCAGAGCUGGGCUGAAGCCAAGUGUGUUAGAAAGGUCUUUGAGGUUCUGGAGAACUGAGGGAUGGCCCCGCAGCCUGGUGUGAGGAGUGGGAAAGGAGCCAGGAGCAGAGCCAGAGAGGAAUCCCUGAUGUGAAAGCUCUCUGUUCAGUACAACUGCCUAAGUCCCGUUAAUGAUCACCUCCAGAAACCAGCACGGAUUCCCAAGCUAGCAGAGACAGGAGAGCAUUUGGCCUAAUGAAAUUAUCCAAGUGCCCUGGCUCCAGCUGCUGUUUUUUAAUUGCAUCUGACUGAUGUCCAGACGAGGCAACUGGGGAGCAGUGGCAUCCUCUGUGCAGCACCUGCAUCCUCUGUGCAGUGCCCACAUCCGACAGCGGUGCUCGCAGCCCCCUUGCUUCCUGGGAGGCUGCAGGAGCUGCGUGGUGAGGAUGUGGCAGGCUCAGUGCUCUCUUACGGCCGCUUCUCUCUGUCACUGACAGGCACAACGCAGCUGAACUGCAAACUUUUCUUUCCUGCUGCAGUGAUGAUUGCCAUUGCAGGAACUUUACAAGCCACCAGCAGUAGGGAAGGUGCUCGUUCUUGGUCAGCCCAUGGGGUGAGCUCCCGUGGUUUGACACCUUGGCUGCUGCUCUUCUGCAGGGAGGCUGUGCUCAUGCCACCUGACUGAGUCCCGCAGGGCCCUGGGAAAAGGCCAACUCUCCUGCUUGUGGGGGUGAAUGCAUCCCACGUCCCUUAAAGCUCCUGUUAAAAAUCCUGAUUCAUUUCUGGGCUGGAGCUCUCCUUCCGAGUGAGGUUUUAGCAACGAGGAUGGAGCCAAGGGCAUUUGAGAGGUGGGCGGUGGGGAGGAAUUAGAGCACACAGGAAUUCAGGGGGGUCGAGCAGACGAAAGCGGCAUUUGUUGCACCCGAAUUAGGCAGCGCUGUGCUGAAGCCAGGCCCUCUGCUGGGCUGCCAGCACUGUAAGCACAGCACCUCGAGUUAGGCCCCCAGGAUGAGGAGCUCAUGGGCUUGCAUUUUGUCCCCUCUCAGCUUCUAGGGUUCAUUUCUGCUUCCUUUUCCUGCAAAGCCAUGAGGCUUUAUAAUCCAAGGCAAGCUUCAACACGGAGAAGAAAAAAAAGCUUGCUGAGAUUGAAGGGUUCCUCCAGGAGGGAGGCGGAUGGCCAACGUAUCAACAGCCCCCAGCACUGCUCUGACCACCCACCAGCUCCUCUCUGAUGGAGAGGCCACCUGCAACUGAUGGCCAAGAAAAGGCCCUGAGCAUUGCUAACCAGCCUCAGCAGCAGGGAGAGCUCCAGUGAAACGUUAUUUAAUGUUCCUCUUCAGUGGAGAUGGCUAUUUACCAGUGAGAAAUUUCUGGGCUGAGGAGUCACAGCUUGGGUAAUGCUGGAUAAAUGUCCUUGGGAGGGGGAAGCGCUGGCGGGAUUUAUAGCAAGUCUUUGAGGCUUGGCUUCCAUAGUUAGAUCUGGCACAGAUUUAGAAAAGCAGCUGGAGAAUGAGUUUGUGCUUGGAAUCAUUAGCAGCGAGGGUUGUGCUGAAUUACCAAGCGCAACCCUGGGGAGGGGGAAAACGGUUUCUAGGCUUUUUGUCUAGGCCGGUACAAUAACUGCGUGUGCACACGUGUAUUUACCCUGCCGAAAGUGAACCCAAAGCACUGAAGGCAUGUGGUGCCCUGGCUCCCUGUGUGGAGGGCGGCUUGCAGGAAGGAUGGAUCCUGCGAAGCAGAACCCGGGGAGCAGCGAUGAGGCAAGGAGCUGCUGGGUUAGCUGGGAGCGUGCUGGCAGCGCACUGCCCAGCUUGUCCUGCUGGGACCUGGCUGCAGCCCCACACCUCGGUGAUGCUCUGCCUCUCUGCCUCUUCAGGUGCCUGGCAGAUGCUGCUGUGAAUGAAGAGGUCCUGGUCUGCCCUGCCUGAUUUUGGGAUUCAGCUCCAGAGCAGCCUGUAAACCCUGGUGUGUCCCUCUAGGAGCCUGGCUUUGUGCUCCCACCAUCUGCAGAACAUUUGUCCCCAGGUUAGAGUGGCUGAGGCUGGGGAGCUCUGAUCUCCGAAGUGAGCCCCAGCUUGCAGGAAGGAACUUGUUUCAGGGACCUGAGCACACAGCAUGGGACAGGAACAGAUCUAGAUGCUGGGCUACUCCAGGCUGGAGCAACCCUAGCCUUCUGAAAAGCAUGAAUGGGGACAAGACAGAGCUUGCAUUGAGUGAGUUUGUGGUUUUGUCCCCAACAGGACCCAAACAUCUCUCCUGGGAUGUGGUGGCUGUGUGUGUUGGGACUGGGGCUGUUUCUGUGACCAUCGAGGCAGAGCAGGUUUUCAGGGAGCUCUGGUCAUGGAUAGUGAUAGACCUGGCAGCCAGUCUGUGGGGAGCUUCUCCUAAACUGGGUAGAACCAGCCUGAAGGCACUGGUUUCGAAACACUUGGGUAGUAGGAGCUGAUGGCUCGGGCUGGUUGCAGGCAGGAGCUGACGCUGGGUGGUGAAGAAGAGCUGGCAGGCUGGGGAGGCACGGCUAUGGCGGUGCUGAAGGCGAAGACAGGCACUUGAUACGAUGGAAUUGGGGGCCAGGGAACCCUACUGGCUCAUUUUUUAAAGUUGUCCAAUUCUGGUUGUAUCUGGCAUUGGCAACAGUGCGGCGUUUCUCUGAUUUGCAGGCACUCUCCUGUGGAAACAUGGUUGAUCGACAUUCCCCGGAGUGAGAGAUGGCAGAUGUAGGGCUUGUCACUGAUGCACUUACAUUUCUGUGCCAUCACCCUGGGCACUCAAAGCUGAACUCUCUCAUUUUCCCCAGGCUGGGAAGCUUGUAAGGUUUCAGAGCUCCCAGGGGCGUCUGCCCACCGCGUUGGCUCGGCUCUGCUGGGAACGGCUCGUGCUGACAGGAGGGCUUGGAAGUGCCACAACGCAGGGUGAAACGAUUUCUCCAAACACUAUAAUUGGCACCUGCUUUUCAUCUAAACCGGAGCCACUUUACACCUGUCUGGCAAGAUAAAGGGACUUAAAAUGAGCAUGAGUGCAAUUCUAUUGCCUGUGCAGUAUACAAAGAUCUCAGCAUCAAUGAAUACCGGAGCUUCAAAGCUUUUGCUGGAAGUUUUUCCACCACCUAUAGUUCUGUUGGGCUGUUUUAUUUUCCAGGUACGGUGGCGUUCACCAAGUGGGCCAUUUGAAGAGCUCCCCUUGCUCUGAGGAGGAACGGACAGAAACGUGUGUGCCGCUAACUCCUGCUGGAUGAACCUGCCUGUUUUCUGGGACCUGUACUCGUACCACCGGAGAUGGUUUUUGCUGCUUUCCUAUUCUUUUGCAGUAAGAGCCUCUCAGUGAUGUCCUGGGGCACCCCUCUGAGCCUCGCAGAGGCCUCGUUUCCCUCUCCGUCCCGCUACACCGGGAGGGAGCUUUUGGCUGAGAGGUGCCCGGGGGCACCGCCGGU
Long non-coding RNA from Cygnus olor (mute swan), 7438 nucleotides. RefSeq lists it as uncharacterized. The transcript has 3 exons. Lineage: Eukaryota; Metazoa; Chordata; Aves; Anseriformes; Anatidae. The record is from RefSeq and is a predicted model, not a curated record.